UAAACCCGAGCGAGGGCUCUGCCAUU
RNAcentral lists this non-coding RNA (26 nucleotides) under Mus musculus (house mouse). The record is from RNAcentral. Lineage: Eukaryota; Metazoa; Chordata; Mammalia; Rodentia; Muridae.